This 1016-nucleotide long non-coding RNA is filed under the name Oryctolagus cuniculus (rabbit). Its description in RNAcentral is "lncRNA (ENSOCUG00000031906.1)". Lineage: Eukaryota; Metazoa; Chordata; Mammalia; Lagomorpha; Leporidae. The record is from RNAcentral.
AGACUAAUCUGAACCUAUUUAGGAUUCUUAAGAUUUUAUGUUCAUAAUCCAAAAGGCAGAAUAGUAUAACUUUCCUAUCCAUGAGAUCUUCUAGGUAAAUUUAAUACAAUUUCUGUUUAAAAUAAUUCUGAGGGCCAUUAUCGUGGUACACCAGGGUAAGCUCCUGCUUAUAACCCUGGCAUCCCAUGUCUGAGUGCUGGUUCAAAACUCACCUAGUGUGUUUCCUAUUCAGGUCCCUGCUAAUGUGCCUGGAAAAGAAGCAUUAGACAGCUAACUUACUUGAGCCCCUGCCACCCAUGAAGGAGACUCAAAUAGAACUUCUGGCUCCGCCUGGAGCACCCCCAGUUAUUGCGACCAUUUGGGGAACAGAUAUUGAAAUUUUAUAAAGUCAAAGAGAUAAUUAUUAUGUAUUCAUAUAAUAUACCUGAAACCAAACUUUUAAAAAGAGUUUUCUUAUGUUCAUGAACCUAUCUAGAAAUGUUGGGCUAUGAAUGAAGUCUAAGUUCUCAGAGUCCUGGUAUGAUUUGGAUAUGGUCCCUGCCUGCCAAAUCUAGUGAUGAAAUUGGAUUGCCAGGGCAAAGUGUGGAAGGUGGGGUCUUAAACAGUUAAAGGGGUGAUGUUAGCUCCACCUUCAUGAAUGGGUUAAGACCUCUCUCAAGAUACUGGCUUAGUUCUUGUUGAACAGACGUGUUCCCCAAGAGAGGCUGUCAUACAACAAGAUGACCCUCUGUGUUUUGGCUCUUCUGCACAUGCCUGGCUGUCCUUCCAUUUGUCUAUCAUAUCCAAAGCAGCACAGGGCCCUCACCAGAAGCUUAUCAGAUAUUGCUACUGGAUUUUUAAUUUCUAGUCUCCAGGACUUUGAGGUGAGCAAUCCUUGUUUUCUUAAUAAAUUACCCAUUCUUGGAACAAAAAUGGACUAUAACAGUUCCUAAUACAAAAUUUUCCUCUACAUCAUCGUGUACCUUAUUCCUACUAUAGAAAAUAAAUGCUUCCAAAUUCAAUGAAUACUUUCUCCU